Molecule: ribosomal RNA, 271 nt
Filed under: uncultured archaeon
Lineage: Archaea
Description: partial 16S ribosomal RNA
Rfam family: Archaeal small subunit ribosomal RNA
Source: RNAcentral
CAGCGUCACGAGUGGCAUCCAUAUUUAUUGGGUCUAAAGUGUCCGUAGCUGGAUUUGAAAGUCUUUUGUGAAAGCGUUGAGCUUAACUUAACGAAUUGCAGGAGAUACUCCAAAUCUUGAGACCGGGAGGGGCUAGAGGUAUUCUUAGGGUAGCGGUAAAAUGCGAUAAUCCUGGGAGGACCACCUGUGGCGAAGGCGUCUAGCUAGAACGGGUCUGACAGUGAGGGACGAAGGCUAGGGGAGCGAUCCGGAUUAGAUACCCGAGUAGUCC